RNAcentral lists this unclassified non-coding RNA (202 nucleotides) under Hevea brasiliensis (rubber tree). Lineage: Eukaryota; Viridiplantae; Streptophyta; Magnoliopsida; Malpighiales; Euphorbiaceae. The record is from RNAcentral.
CCCUCAUAGCCGUGGUCGCGUUCAUACGCUUCGGCUUCUUCGGCCAGUCGUUCGUUUUCCUUCUUCACGCAAUCGCCGCACACGUCAUAGAGGCGACCGGCCAGACCUUCCUCAAAAUCACGACGCGGGCGAAGAUCGGUCGCCUCGUUCUUGCACCAGUCGCAGCGGCCUUGUCGGGACUUCGCGGCCUCCGGCGAUCUGA